GAUGAGGGAACUGAGAAGUGAAGUGACUUGCCCAAGGCGACCCAGCGGACAAGUGGCGGAGCAGGAUUGGAACCCGUGACCCGCUGACUCCAUCUACUAGGCCAUGCUGCUUCAUGAUGAUGCCAAGAGAGGAGCGGACCGAGAUGCAAGACUUUGGCGAUGACAGAUCUUCAAGGGGCAUUUCCUAUGGAACUCUUCAGACCAAGGACUUUACACGUAUAAUUUACACGUAGGAAACUUCGAACUGAAAACUAUUUUCCGCACCGUUGGAGGUCACAGUAUUUUCAGGGAAUUGCGAUUCUCCCCUGUUCUUUUAAACCACAUUGUCUCUGCGGAGAAUGAUUUACCGAAACGUGACUGAACGAAAGCUGUCCAGUUUCAGUUUUCCCUUCAGUGCAGUAGGUGUCUUGACAGAAUAUACAAUAUAGCAGAAUUUUAGGAGACUCCUUAAGUGCUAAGGCCUCUAGCAUUUGACCCUGCCUCCCCACCCCCCAAAUUAACAUCCUGAGAAGGUACAAUUCCAGUAGAUAUCACAUUUCAGAUGGAAUGCGGUCAGCUUUCAACCGAACCAUUCCUCAGUGUAACGCCCGAGAGUGGUAACACUCGUAUCCAGUUGUUCGGAUGCCGCAUUCCUACUUAAUACUUUUGAUGGCCCUGAACGCGGGAAUACUGGCACCCGAACGGUUCGAGAGAGUAGCUAUCGUGAAUAAAAGGCACUGGGCUUCUUCCUAGACA
This is a long non-coding RNA of Tachyglossus aculeatus (Australian echidna), 735 nucleotides long. RefSeq lists it as uncharacterized. The record is from RefSeq and is a predicted model, not a curated record. NCBI's taxonomy places the organism in Eukaryota, Metazoa, Chordata, Mammalia, Monotremata, Tachyglossidae. The transcript is spliced from 2 exons.